GCGGAGGGCUGGAUGACCGCGGCAGGGCAACCUGUCGAGGAAAGUCCGGACUCCAUAAGGUAAUGGUGCCGGGUAACGCCCGGCGGGGGUAACCCUAGGGAUAGCGCCACAGAGAACAGACCGCCUGUGUCCGCACAGGUAAGGGUGAAACGGUGAGGUAAGAGCUCACCGGGGGGCUGGUAACAGCGCCCGCAUGGCAAGCCCCACCAGGAGCAAUGCCGAAUAGGGAUCGCGCGCGGCGCAAGUCGCAGGGCCACCUUGCCCCAGCAGAUCCGGGUAGGCAGCUAGAUCCGGUCGGCAACGACCGGACCAGAGGAAUGGUCAUCCAGCCGCGCAAGCGGUGGACAAAAUCCGGCUUACAGGCCCUCCGCGCAU
Molecule: RNase P RNA, 375 nt
Filed under: Paracoccus sp. JM45
Lineage: Bacteria; Pseudomonadati; Pseudomonadota; Alphaproteobacteria; Rhodobacterales; Paracoccaceae
Description: RNase P RNA component class A
Rfam family: Bacterial RNase P class A
About the family: Ribonuclease P (RNase P) is a ubiquitous endoribonuclease, found in archaea, bacteria and eukarya as well as chloroplasts and mitochondria.
Source: RNAcentral